Molecule: ribosomal RNA, 253 nt
Filed under: uncultured bacterium
Lineage: Bacteria
Description: partial 16S ribosomal RNA
Rfam family: Bacterial small subunit ribosomal RNA
Source: RNAcentral
UACGGGGGGGGCAAGCGUUGUUCGGAAUUAUUGGGCGUAAAGAGCUCGUAGGCGGUUUGUCGCGUCUGCUGUGAAAAUCCAGGGCUUAACCCUGGACCUGCAGUGGGUACGGGCAGACUGGAGUGCGGUAGGGGAGAUCGGAAUUCCUGGUGUAGCGGUGAAAUGCGCAGAUAUCAGGAGGAACACCGGUGGCGAAGGCGGAUCUCUGGGCCGUAACUGACACUGAUGAACGAAAGCCAGGGGAGCAAACGGG